CGGUUAAACUAGAGGGCCUAGUUAUAUUGUUAAGGUAAAAAGGCGGUUAGAUAGGAUGUAUUAAGUAGUGGCUUAUAUAAAUUACUAUAGAAAAGUGAAAUUUUAAUAUAGAUAAAUAAAUCAAGGAUGGCCAUAAUAUAUUGAGUCCGCGAUAGCUUUGAGGGAAACUGGGAUUUGAUACCCCAUUAUUCUUAGCUGUAAAUAAACAUUAAGUUUACCGGAGUACUAUGAAUAUUAAAAUUUAAAACUCAAAGAGCUUGGCGGUGUUUUAGACCACUUAGGGGAACCUGUCUCGUAAUCGAUAAUCCACGGCAUACCUUACCUUUUAUAGAAAUCAGCUUGUACACCGUUGUCAUCAGGUAACUUUUUAGAGUAUUUAAGUUAGCAAUGAAAUUUAUAAUAAAUUUUAAUGUCAAAUCAAGGUGCAGCCAAUGAAAAGGGGAGGAUGGGUUACAAUUAAAAUUUAUAAAAUGGAUUAGGUAGUGAAAUUUAUUUGUGAAGGAGGACUUAAAAGUAAGAUUAUAUAUAAAAAUAGUCUGAAUUGGGCUCUGAAAUGUGUACUAACCCCCC
RNAcentral lists this ribosomal RNA (570 nucleotides) under Nipponaphera suduirauti. RNAcentral's name for it is "partial 12S ribosomal RNA". It matches the Rfam family "Microsporidia small subunit ribosomal RNA", at positions 403 to 1197 of the family's 1311-position model. The record is from RNAcentral. Lineage: Eukaryota; Metazoa; Mollusca; Gastropoda; Neogastropoda; Cancellariidae.